Molecule: ribosomal RNA, 464 nt
Filed under: uncultured bacterium
Lineage: Bacteria
Description: partial 16S ribosomal RNA
Rfam family: Bacterial small subunit ribosomal RNA
Source: RNAcentral
CUACGGGCGGCUCCAGUGGGGAAUAUUGGACAAUGGGGGAAACCCUGAUCCAGCAAUGCCGCGUGUGUGAAGGAGGCCUGCGGGUUGUAAAGCACUUUCGGUUGGGAGGACUGCUUCUAGCACUAAUAUUGUUGGAAGUUGACGUUACCUUCAGAAGAAGCACCGGCUAACUCCGUGCCAGCAGCCGCGGUAAUACGGGGGUGCAAGCGUUAAUCGGAAUUACUGGGCGUAAAGCGCGCGUAGGCGGCUAGAUCAGUCGGGUGUGAAAGCCCCGGGCUUAACCUGGGAACUGCAUCCGAUACUGUCUAGCUUGAGUACAGGAGAGGAGAGUGGAAUUCCACAUGUAGCGGUGAAAUGCGUAGAUAUGUGGAGGAACACCAAUGGCGAAGGCAGCUCUCUGGCCUGAUACUGACGCUGAGGUGCGAAAGCGUGGGGAGCAAACAGGAUUAGAUACCCCGGUAGUC